Molecule: long non-coding RNA, 378 nt
Organism: Fopius arisanus
Lineage: Eukaryota; Metazoa; Arthropoda; Insecta; Hymenoptera; Braconidae
Exons: 2
Source: RefSeq, a predicted model, not a curated record
AAACAGUAAGUACGAUAUUAAAUUAUUAUUGAAGUAAAUCAAGUAAACAUCACUGACAAAUUUGUGAAGAUAUUUUUAAUAACUGUUAAUUCGUUGAAACACAAAUAAUCAGCAGUCGGAGGCUUUGAAACAUGUCGUCAAAAAUUCCAGUCAGUGGAAUCUGAGGCAUCGAAGAGCUCAGAGUAUUAAAAGGAAAGCUGGAGGGAUUGAAGAAGAAGGAACAGGGAGUCAUCGACGAGGCAGGAAAAACGGAGCUGGGUGAAAAAGCUGGACAAUUGGACUAUAUCACAGACCGCAGAAGUCGUUAGGAAAGAAUUAGACAAUCAUGGGAUUCAAGGACGAGUCUAUGCACUAUUGACUAAAUUGAGAAAACGAAAG